Brienomyrus brachyistius is the source of this 1157-nucleotide long non-coding RNA. RefSeq lists it as uncharacterized. NCBI's taxonomy places the organism in Eukaryota, Metazoa, Chordata, Actinopteri, Osteoglossiformes, Mormyridae. The record is from RefSeq and is a predicted model, not a curated record. The transcript is spliced from 3 exons.
CAGACGAAUGUAGCCCUGUGCGAUAUUUUCUUUUAUUUCCAUGUUUUUGAAAAGUGCUACAAAAUGUAUUAAAGUGCUUUUUGAAUGUACUGUGCCGAAGCGUGUUUAUUUUCUUAUGGCCUGAAUUUUGUUUGUAUUUUUAAAUAUUUUUAUGUUCAUCUCUGUGAGUUUAUUGGAUGAAAAUGGAUAGUGACCUUUGAACCUGAACCUGUUCGAGGAGAAGCGGGAAAAAUGAAAAGCGAGCGAGGGAGGGGAUGGUUGCACGCGGACGGUUAGUUUGAUGCCGUAAAUAUACGGUUAAUAUCCACCUCCAGGCUUUAGACGUGGAAUUACGCAUGAUAACAGUUGUCGGAUUGAUAACUUCUUUAUCAGAGAUCGGGUAUUUCUGAUCGUGUAUUUAAGUAUUCCUGAAGUUUAUUACCGCGUGAGUAGCAGUAAUCGUAAGAGCGUGGUGGCGCCCGGCCGCCAUCUUAAGCUGAACGCGACCUCCGGCACGGUGUCAGUUAUCAUCGCCCUGAAGGGACAUGGACUCAGUGGACGGAGUUCGCCGUUCACCUGGACGAGAUGGGCGAAGGGGAAACUGGACGCCAGCACAAACGGGUCUGCGGGAGAUACGGGCUUCCAGGCGUCCCAGCGCGACGGAGCUUCGCUCCUCUCCUGAAGCGGCAAGUACCCGCUUCUCUGUCUUUGUUUGCUCGCAGAGCGAAGCGGACGCUUCCAUGUCGGGUCCCGAGCCACGUUACCAGGCCUCACCCAGGAGGACAUCUUACUUCCUAUACUGCCGGCAUUGGAGCUUUCGUGAACUUUCAGUUAAGAACAUAUCAGGACGACGCCCUUCCCUCCCGACUCGACUGUGAUCCAUGCUUUCGGGAACGAGACGCUGUCAAACAAAAAGCUUCAAGCCUCCAUCUCCUCCAACACAAAGCGAGGAAAUUGCAUUUCCGUGGAUUUAUCUGCACAUUUAGCCUGCUGGCUGCUUGGGGACUCUGACUACAAGGUCUACAGGCUGCAGACACAUCAGAGGAACCUUCAAAUGCAAGCCAGUGUGGAAACAUGAAAAUAAUGAGGGCACAUGCCUCACUCAAGACACCUUUUCGCAAAAACCCCGUUAAAUGCAGAGUAGAGAUACUCAGUUGUAUGUUGAUUAGCUUUUUUUU